This 301-nucleotide ribosomal RNA is filed under the name uncultured bacterium. RNAcentral's name for it is "partial 16S ribosomal RNA". It matches the Rfam family "Bacterial small subunit ribosomal RNA", at positions 509 to 807 of the family's 1533-position model. The record is from RNAcentral.
CAGUCGCCGCGGUAAUACAGAGGGUGCGAGCGUUAAUCGGAUUUACUGGGCGUAAAGCGUGCGUAGGCGGCUUCUUAAGUCGGAUGUGAAAUCCCUGAGCUUAACUUAGGAAUUGCAUUCGAUACUGGGAAGCUUGAGUAUGGGAGAGGAUGGUAGAAUUCCAGGUGUAGCGGUGAAAUGCGUAGAGAUCUGGAGGAAUACCGAUGGCGAAGGCAGCCAUCUGGCCUAAUACUGACGCUGAGGUACGAAAGCAUGGGGAGCAAACAGGAUUAGAUACCCGAGUAGUCCCUGUCUCUUAUAC